Molecule: long non-coding RNA, 569 nt
Organism: Megalobrama amblycephala (Wuchang bream)
Lineage: Eukaryota; Metazoa; Chordata; Actinopteri; Cypriniformes; Xenocyprididae
Exons: 3
Source: RefSeq, a predicted model, not a curated record
UCUUUCACUUUUGUCCAUACAGUUUUGUUUAAUCCAAAUUUUAUAUAUUAAAGCAACACAUUCACACUUGGGUGUGGUCUCGGGUUAUUUGGCUUAUAUUUACAAAGUGAACAAGAAUUUUAUAACAAUCACACUAGGAUAGAUUAAAAAACUUGUUAGCCCACAGAUAUAUCAUACAGGUUUAUUUCAGCUACUGCAUUCAACAAAUGAUAACAAUUAAUAAAAGACAGUUUCAAAGCAUUGCAAAAUACAAAGGAAACCAAAAGUAACACCGGUUUAUAUACAGGCGAGCUCAGAGUUACAGUUUAAACAGAAAGUCCAGCUCACACCCUUGAGAUUAGUGCUUACUUCUGCAUUGUCAGAAAUCAGUGAAGAUUUGACAAGAUCUACACCAAAAUGCAAUUCCUUUGCCUCUUUUGGCUUGUGACCAUCAGCGUGAUAGCGUGUUUCUUCUUUGUUAUAAUAUCAUUUAUUAGUGUUAGAGAGUUCAAGAGCGAGUUUUCUGAAGGAGAGAAGGAGAAAAGUGUUGGGACGGUAGUUGGAAUAGACCUUGGGACAACGUACGCCUG